RNAcentral lists this ribosomal RNA (1098 nucleotides) under Triticum aestivum (bread wheat). Its description in RNAcentral is "partial small subunit ribosomal RNA". Lineage: Eukaryota; Viridiplantae; Streptophyta; Magnoliopsida; Poales; Poaceae. The record is from RNAcentral.
AUGCAGUACUACGCAGGCGGUACCUCCUUUAACUCACCACAUGCUGGAGCUCAUGGCCGUGACUGCUUCUGCAUCAGCGGUCCCAAACACAUAGCUCAAUCCGUUGACUGGAGCAACGAGGAGCACCGCCGUUGCAUCGCGGCUUGCCUUGUGAAAGCUACUUACAUCAUGGAGGAGGACCGGCCAAAGUGCAGGGUGUAUGACAUGGGGUUGGCGCCGCCGUGGUGGCAGAGCUUCCACUUCGAGCUGCGGGAUCUGCUCAAGUGCGGCACCGAGAACGCGGACGAGUUCAUCUUCGGCGCCGUAUUCGAGUACUGCCCCCCCGCGGGGUGGCAGCGCCACCCGUCGGCCCCAAACUACGUUUUCGCCCUGCGCGGCACCAUGCCUCGGCACCCAAAGUCCGCCCACGACCUGUACAACGACAUCAAGGUCUUCCUCAGCGACCUGCCAUGCUGCAGACGGACCCAGAAGGCGCGUCAGGCGGUGGCCAACAUGCUCAUCCGUAAGGGCACGGAGCGCUGUGUGUUGUGGCUGGCGGGGCACUCGCUGGGCGCGUCGCUGGCGCUGGAGGUGGGGCGGGACAUGGCGGAGCAGCACCAGGCGUACCUGCCGACCUUCCUCUUCAACCCGCCCAACGUGUCACCGAUGCCGGCCUUCAACCUCCUCAACCCGUCGGAGGUGGCGAAGAAGGACGUGUUCACGGGGAGCUACCUCGUGAAGGCGGCGCUCGGGGCCACGGUCAUGAGGUCAUACUGCACCCGCAUGGAGAAAGUGUUCCAGCGCCUCUCCCCGUGGGUGCCGGAGCUGUACGUGAACGAGAGGGACAUCAUUUGCCAGGGUUUCAUCGACUACUUCGAGCAGCGGCAGAAGGUGGAGGAGCGCAUCGCUGGCGUCGGCAGGGCAGCCAUGAAGCUGUCGUAUCGCGACAUGCUCUCCUCCCUCAUCGGCAGCAGCAAGGAGCAGCCGCACCUCUUGCCGUCCGCGAGGCUGUGGAAGAACUCCAACACAACAUUCGGCACGCACGACCUCAUGCAGUGGUGGAGGCCGGACAGCGAGCUAAAGCUCAGCUGCAGGAAGUUCACCUACCCCAGAGCAUGA